GGGUGAGUAACACGUGGGUAACCUGCCUGUAAAACUGGGAUAACUCCGGGAAACCGGGGCUAAAACCGGAUGCUUGAUUGAACCGCAGGGUUCAUUUAUCAGAGGGGGCUUUGACUAUCAAUUAACAAAUGACCCCCGGCGCAAUAACUUGGUGGGGAGGUUACGGCCCCACAAGGGCACCAUUCGUAACCCAACUUAAAGGGUGGUCGGCCACCCUGGGACUGAAACCCGGCCCAAAACCCCACCGGAGGGAGCAAUAGGGAAUCUUCCCCAAUGGAACAAAGUCUUAACGAACAACCGCCCGGGGGUUAAUAAGGUUUUCGGAUCGUAAAACUCCUUUGGUAGGGAAAAAAGUACCGGUCCAAAGGGGGUUCCCUUACCGUUCCUAACCCGAUGCCCCCGCUACUUCCUGCCAGCCACCGCGGAAUCCAAGUUGGAGCGGAUGUCCGGAUUUAUAUGGCGUAACGCGCGCGCCAGGCGGUUCUUAGUCUAUUCGAAGCCCCCCGCUCCACCGGAUGAUCAUGGAAUCUGGGAUCUUGAUGCGAGUAGAUGUGAGUGGAAUCCCGUGUACGUUAAUGGUAAGUACGCAGAUCCAGUGGCAAGCCACUCUUGGCGGACGACCAGCCGAGCUGAGGCGCGAAAGCGUGGGGAGCGAACCAGGAUCAGAUACCUGGUUUCCACGCCGUAAACGAUGACUCCUAAGCGUCAGAGGGUCUCCGCCCCUGAGUGAUGCAGCAAACGCAUAAAGCACUCCGCCUGGGGAGUACGGUCGCAAGAUUGAAACUCAAAGGAAGGAGGGGGGCCCGCCCAAGCGGGGGAGCAUGUGGUUUAUUUGGAAGCAACGCGAAGAACCUAACCAGGUCGGACAUCCUCUGACAACCCAAGAGAUAGGGCUUCCCCUUCGGGGGCAGAGUGACAGGUGGUGCAUGGUGGUGGUCAGCUCGGGUCGUGAGAUGUGGGGUUAAGUCCCGCAACGAGCGCAACCCUUGAUUUUAGUGGCCAGCAUUCAGUCGGGCACUCUAAGGUGACUGCCGGUGACAAACCGGAGGAAGGUGGGGAUGACGUCAAAUCAUCAUGCCCCUUAUGACCUGGGCUACACACGUGCUACAAUGGGCAGAACAAAGGGCAGCGAAGCCGCGAGGGUAAGCGUAGAGAUGUCCAAUCCCACAAAUCUGUUCUCAGUUCGGAUCGCAGUCUGCAACUCGACUGCGUGAAGCGGAAUCGCUAGUAAUCGCGGAUCAGCAUGCCGCGGUGAAUACGUUCCCGGGCCUGUACACACCGCCCGUCACACCACGAGAGUGAGUUACACCCGAAGUCGGUGAG
This 1323-nucleotide ribosomal RNA is filed under the name Bacillus licheniformis. Its description in RNAcentral is "partial 16S ribosomal RNA". It matches the Rfam family "Bacterial small subunit ribosomal RNA", at positions 104 to 1434 of the family's 1533-position model. Lineage: Bacteria; Bacillati; Bacillota; Bacilli; Caryophanales; Bacillaceae. The record is from RNAcentral.